AUACGGAGGGUGCAAGCGUUAAUCGGAAUUACUGGGCGUAAAGCGCGCGUAGGCGGCUUAUUAAGUCAGAUGUGAAAUCCCCGGGCUCAACCUGGGAACUGCAUCUGAUACUGGUAAGCUAGAGUUUUGGAGAGGGAAGUAGAAUUUCAGGUGUAGCGGUGAAAUGCAUAGAGAUCUGAAGGAAUACCAGUGGCGAAGGCGACUUCCUGGCCAAAAACUGACGCUGAGGUGCGAAAGCGUGGGUAGCAAACGGGAUUAGAAACCCUAGUAGUCC
RNAcentral lists this ribosomal RNA (274 nucleotides) under uncultured bacterium. RNAcentral's name for it is "partial 16S ribosomal RNA". It matches the Rfam family "Bacterial small subunit ribosomal RNA", at positions 523 to 796 of the family's 1533-position model. The record is from RNAcentral.